Ribosomal RNA from Apteryx haastii (Great spotted kiwi), 108 nucleotides. Lineage: Eukaryota; Metazoa; Chordata; Aves; Apterygiformes; Apterygidae. The record is from Ensembl.
GUUCACCUGUAACGACCAUAGUGCAGAAACGAUCUUGGAAGCUAAGCAGGUCAGGCCUGGCUAGUACUUGGAUGGGAGGCCACUUGUAAAUACGGGGCGCUGUGGGCU